AGUGAACGCUGGCGGUAGGCCUAACACAUGCAAGUCGAACGGCAGCACAGUAAGAGCUUGCUCUUACGGGUGGCGAGUGGCGGACGAGUGAGGAAUACAUCGGAAUCUACUUUUUCGUGGGGGAUAACGUAGGGAAACUUACGCUAAUACCGCAUACGACCUACGGGUGAAAGCAGGGGAUCUUCGGACCUUGCGCGAUUGAAUGAGCCGAUGUCGGAUUAGCUAGUUGGCGGGGUAAAGGCCCACCAAGGCGACGAUCCGUAGCUGGUCUGAGAGGAUGAUCAGCCACACUGGAACUGAGACACGGUCCAGACUCCUACGGGAGGCAGCAGUGGGGAAUAUUGGACAAUGGGCGCAAGCCUGAUCCAGCCAUACCGCGUGGGUGAAGAAGGCCUUCGGGUUGUAAAGCCCUUUUGUUGGGAAAGAAAGGCAGCAGGUUAAUACCCCGCUGUUCUGACGGUACCCAAAGAAUAAGCACCGGCUAACUUCGUG
This 492-nucleotide ribosomal RNA is filed under the name uncultured bacterium. RNAcentral describes it as "partial 16S ribosomal RNA". It matches the Rfam family "Bacterial small subunit ribosomal RNA", at positions 29 to 507 of the family's 1533-position model. The record is from RNAcentral.